Molecule: ribosomal RNA, 398 nt
Filed under: Aulopus filamentosus (royal flagfin)
Lineage: Eukaryota; Metazoa; Chordata; Actinopteri; Aulopiformes; Aulopidae
Description: partial 12S ribosomal RNA
Rfam family: Bacterial small subunit ribosomal RNA
Source: RNAcentral
GCCUAGCCACAAACCUUGAUAGCAUUUUACAACCGCUAUCCGCCAGGGAAGUACAAGCGCUAGCUUGAAACCCAAAGGACUUGGCGGUGCUUCAGACCCCCCUAGAGGAGCCUGUUCUAGAACCGAUAAUCCCCGUUCAACCUCACCAUUUCUUGUUUCUCCCGCCUAUAUACCGCCGUCGUCAGCCUACCCUCUAAAGGACUAAAAGUAGGCAAAAUAAGUACAACCCAAAACGUCAGGUCGAGGUGUAGCGAAUGAAAUGGGAAGAAAUGGGCUACAUUCUCUAUUCUUAGAGAAACACGAAAAAUGAAAUGAAAUGUUCAUCUGAAGGAGGAUUUAGCAGUAAGUAGAAAAUAGAGUGUGUCUGCUGAAGCCGGCUCUGAAGCGCGUACACACCG